This 532-nucleotide ribosomal RNA is filed under the name Raniceps raninus (tadpole fish). Its description in RNAcentral is "partial 16S ribosomal RNA". The stretch from base 182 to 532 matches the Rfam family "Bacterial large subunit ribosomal RNA", at positions 569 to 1050 of the family's 2925-position model. The record is from RNAcentral. Lineage: Eukaryota; Metazoa; Chordata; Actinopteri; Gadiformes; Gadidae.
ACGCCUAAUAGCUAGCCUCAACAAUCAAAUUUUAAUAUUACGGGCCUAAAAACUUUUAAUAUACUUAAAUAAACCAUUUUAUACCCUAGUACGGGAGACGAAAAAGGAAAUAAGAGCAACAGACAAAGUACCGCAAGGGAACGCUGAAAAAGAAAUGAAAUAAACCAUUUAAGCCCCGAAUAGCAGAGAUUAACACUCGUACCUUUUGCAUCAUGAUUUAGCAAGAAAACUACAAGCAAAGAGACCUUUAGUUUGUAACCCCGAAACUGAGCGAGCUACUCCAAGACAGCCUAUGUAGGGCCAACCCGUCUCUGUGGCAAAAGAGUGGGAAGAGCUUUGAGUAGAGGUGAUAAACCUACCGAGCACAGUUAUAGCUGGUUGCCUGAGAAAUGAAUAGAAGUUCAGCCCUUUAAGUCUUCCCCCAUCACCCAUGCUUAAGCUAAAAUUGAUUAAGGAAACUAAGGGAGUUAAUCAAAAGGGGUACAGCCCUUCUGAUAAAAGAAACAACUUUAACAGGUGAUUCAAGAUCAUA